UACGGAGGAUGCGAGCGUUAUCCGGAUUUAUUGGGUUUAAAGGGUGCGUAGGCGGUCCGGAAAGUCAGCGGUAAAAGCCCGGGGCUCAACCCCGGCGAGCCGUUGAAACUGUCGGACUAGAGACGGCGAGAAGUACGCGGAAUGCGCGGUGUAGCGGUGAAAUGCAUAGAUAUCACGCAGAACUCCGAUUGCGAAGGCAGCUCACUGGACUGCAACUGACACUGAGGCUCGAAAGUGUGGGUAUCAAACAGG
Molecule: ribosomal RNA, 252 nt
Filed under: uncultured Bacteroidales bacterium
Lineage: Bacteria; Pseudomonadati; Bacteroidota; Bacteroidia; Bacteroidales
Description: partial 16S ribosomal RNA
Rfam family: Bacterial small subunit ribosomal RNA
Source: RNAcentral